AAAAAGGACCGAAAACGAGCAAAGCAUGGAAAAACACCAAAAGUCAAAAAAUCCUCAUAUGAAAUCCAGAGGACUGCUACGGCCACCCGUAGCAGAUGCUACGUGUAACACCCUAAACCCCGAAACUUAUAUAAAAAAGCAUUACUCGACAAUUUAAGGUGUCACCAACGACAACCAAACUGUAAUUUGAAAAAAAAUAUUAUCUACAUGCAGUAGAAAAUCAUAACAAAACAAUUUCAAU
This 241-nucleotide long non-coding RNA is filed under the name Lathyrus oleraceus (garden pea). Its description in RNAcentral is "Pisum sativum (pea) long non-coding RNA (PSAT_LNC035599)". Lineage: Eukaryota; Viridiplantae; Streptophyta; Magnoliopsida; Fabales; Fabaceae. The record is from RNAcentral.